GGGGAAUAUUGCACAAUGGGCGAAAGCCUGAUGCAGCAACGCCGCGUGAGUGAUGACGGCCUUCGGAUUGUAAAGCUCUGUCUUUGGGGACGAUAAUGACGGUACCCAAGGAGGAAGCCGCGGCUAACUACGUGCCAGCAGCUGCGGUAAUACGUAGGUGGCAAGCGUUGUCCGGAUUUACUGGGCGUAAAGGGUGCGUAGGCGGACCUUUAAGUGAGAUGUGAAAUCCCCGAGCUUAACUUGGGGGCUGCAUUUCAAACUGGAGGUCUAGAGGGCAGGAGAGGAGAGUGGAAGUCCUAGUGUAGCGGUGAAAUGCGUAGAGAUUAGGAAGAACACCAGUGGCGAAGGCGACUCUCUGGACUGUAACUGACGCUGAGGCACGAAAGCGUGGGGAGCAAACAG
Molecule: ribosomal RNA, 402 nt
Filed under: uncultured bacterium
Lineage: Bacteria
Description: bacterial SSU rRNA
Rfam family: Bacterial small subunit ribosomal RNA
Source: RNAcentral